CGAUUCUGAUUGUCUUUCCCGGAUUCUCUGGUCCCAGGCUUACAGUUUCCAGAUCCUCUACAGGUUCUUGUCUGCCAUUCUUGUUUUCCACUCGGGUAUCGAGGGAUGUUAUCUGCAUUGCUUCCCCUGUUUCCAUCGCUUUUCACUUGCUUUACUCCCCUUCUUGCUAUCAACAGAAGCUUUUUGAUCAGUUCCCCACAGACGGCGCCAAAAUCUUGAUGCGAGAUUCUGGUUCUCCUCGUUC
RNAcentral lists this long non-coding RNA (244 nucleotides) under Citrus sinensis (sweet orange). RNAcentral describes it as "long non-coding RNA (CSIN_LNC005249)". The record is from RNAcentral. Lineage: Eukaryota; Viridiplantae; Streptophyta; Magnoliopsida; Sapindales; Rutaceae.